GACGAACGCUGGCGGCGUGCUUAACACAUGCAAGUCGAACGGAAAGGCCCUGCUUUUGUGGGGUGCUCGAGUGGCGAACGGGUGAGUAACACGUGAGUAACCUGCCCUUGACUUUGGGAUAACUUCAGGAAACUGGGGCUAAUACCGGAUAGGAGCUCCUGCUGCAUGGUGGGGGUUGGAAAGUUUCGGCGGUUGGGGAUGGACUCGCGGCUUAUCAGCUUGUUGGUUGGGUAGUGGCUUACCAAGGCUUUGACGGGUAGCCGGCCUGAGAGGGUGACCGGCCACAUUGGGACUGAGAUACGGCCCAGACUCCUACGGGAGGCAGCAGUGGGGAAUAUUGCACAAUGGGCGGAAGCCUGAGGCAGCAACGCCGCGUGCGGGAUGACGGCCUUCGGGUUGUAAACCGCUUUCGCCUGUGACGAAGCGUGAGUGACGGUAAUGGGUAAAGAAGCACCGGCUAACUACGUG
Molecule: ribosomal RNA, 468 nt
Filed under: uncultured bacterium
Lineage: Bacteria
Description: partial 16S ribosomal RNA
Rfam family: Bacterial small subunit ribosomal RNA
Source: RNAcentral